RNAcentral lists this long non-coding RNA (201 nucleotides) under Mytilus galloprovincialis (Mediterranean mussel). The record is from RNAcentral. Lineage: Eukaryota; Metazoa; Mollusca; Bivalvia; Mytilida; Mytilidae.
UUCAACAAAACACACAAAAUUAUCAAAUAAACAAAAUUUUCACACUUGCCUGUUUUCUUUUAAUAGUGUCAAUAAAUGGCACAAAGAAAUGUGUAAUAUUCUUGAAUGGUGUUGUAACUAUAAUGAUGAUGAGUGUAUUUGCAGAUCUAUAUAAAGGUAAAGGUAAGUACAGCACCAAACUUUGAAUGGAAACACAAACUA